UAAGAAAACGUGAAAGGAAGGUAAAGAUUAAAUAUAUACAAUUACCAAUGGAGAGUCAAAGUAUGGAGUCAAGGCAGACUUCGGAAUGUUGGUUGAAACCCAGAAAUGUUGACACCAUGAAUGUUAUCAACAUUCCACCCAACAUUGAAAACAUGAAUGUUAUCAACAUUGGUCCCAACAUUGUCGGAGUCAACAUUGACUCUAACAAUCUCCCCCUUAAUCUUUUCCUUCCUGCAACAAAAACACAA
Molecule: long non-coding RNA, 248 nt
Filed under: Salvia miltiorrhiza (redroot sage)
Lineage: Eukaryota; Viridiplantae; Streptophyta; Magnoliopsida; Lamiales; Lamiaceae
Description: long non-coding RNA (SMIL_LNC009327)
Source: RNAcentral